UUUUCUUUUUUUUUUUUCUAAUUUUUAUAAAAAACAAAUUAAGAAAGAAAGGAUAUUAUAACAUGAAGGACAAAAAAAUCCCCUGGUUCUAACCAACAUAUAAAGAUAAGACUACAGAAAUAAUGCCAUCUGAUCAAGUUAAACAACAUUCAAAGCAUUACUCUAAAAACAACUAAAGCACAAGCCAACAGAGAAGACAGAAGAUAAGAAAACCAUCUUUUCAUGGGGAGAUUAAAGGACAAAAUCUGGCAUUUGAAAAUAAGCACAUUGCUCUCCAGUCUCCACCCAAGUACUGCAUCAUACAAGAAAAGGAAAUAACCCAUAAUACAGAAUAAAAAACACAAUCAUGAAGAAUUUAGCAUAUUUCUUCCAGGAAAGCCCUUCCAAUUUAAACCAACAAAAGCUUCUAACGACUUUGUACAUGCACAGUUGACUGUUCUCCCCAAAAAGAAAAAACGCCAGUUUCACAAUGGCUAAAGUGGAGUGAAUAGGCUAGGAGUAAAUACACAUAUCACCUCAUAAUACAAUAUGACCAAAGUGAUAAGCUCCAUAAAAUUCCACCUUAAAGUUAUUGCACUCCACUAAACAAAAACUUUUUACUUUCAAAAUGAUUCCCACCAUUAUGGACUUCAUUAAAAUGGAAUAUUAUGUAAAUUCAUUUUCAAAAAACUCACAUCAGUCUCCAGAAAAAAAUAACAGUUGGACACUUCUAAAAAAGCGUGCAUUAAUAUGAUUGGCAUAAGUACAAAGAAGAUGAGAUCAACAUAUCUAGAGUUAAUAUGAUUCAAAUGAUGGGUUAUCAUGUGGACCACUACAUCAUAAAUAGGCGGAAGCAAAAUUUAGCAUUCUGCCUUCUAUUUUCUUUUUUACGCUAUAUCCGCAGGCAAUUAAUCUCUGAACCAAAUGUCAAAAGGAUGCCUAUAUUGAGUAAAACAUUAAAACAAUCAAGAAGCUGACAAACAUAUUUAUUUGGAUUCUGGAGAAUAUUGAUGUUACAAACUUACAAUAGAAUUUAAAAUGAGGAAAAUUGUAAAAUUUUUCAGCACCAUGGGCUAUAAGCAACAAACAUUAUUACCAUUAUACAUUUUUUCUUAUCUUCUUUUUUUUUUUUUUUUUUCUUCGCUCCUCUUUUUCUACUGAUGCCUAAACAGCUGCUUGGAACUUGGAAGUUGACUAGUUGAUGCAGCAUUCUACUUGUAAAGAUAAUUGUUCUUAAGGAGUGAAAAGCCUUAUAUGACGUUCCCAUCGAUUGGCUUUCACUUUAUGUAUUAUAUGCUUCCCAUAUGGAUAACCCAUGAAAGUUGAGAUAAGUAUAGCUUUAGAGGACAGUAUUUAUCAGUCAAUGUGAAUGACUAAGGAACAUUAAAAAAGGGAAUGAUUAAAGGCAUGCCCUGUGCUAACACGGGGGUUGGGGCCUUGGUGGGCUAUCAUUAUGUUGUUGGAG
RNAcentral lists this unclassified non-coding RNA (1444 nucleotides) under Hevea brasiliensis (rubber tree). Lineage: Eukaryota; Viridiplantae; Streptophyta; Magnoliopsida; Malpighiales; Euphorbiaceae. The record is from RNAcentral.